Molecule: ribosomal RNA, 253 nt
Filed under: uncultured bacterium
Lineage: Bacteria
Description: partial 16S ribosomal RNA
Rfam family: Bacterial small subunit ribosomal RNA
Source: RNAcentral
UACGAAGGGGGCUAGCGUUGCUCGGAAUCACUGGGCGUAAAGGGUGCGUAGGCGGGUCUUUAAGUCAGGGGGGAAAUCCUGGAGCUCAACUCCAGAACUGCCUUUGAUACUGAAGAUCUUGAGUUCGGGAGAGGUGAGUGGAACUGCGAGUGUAGAGGUGAAAUUCGUAGAUAUUCGCAAGAACACCAGUGGCGAAGGCGGCUCACUGGCCCGAUACUGACGCUGAUGCACGAAAGCGUGGGGAGCGAACGGG